AAGGAAAGUUAUUUAUUUAAUUUUUGUAUAAUAUUUGCGGUAGAUUAAGAGGUAAUCAAUAGAAAUAUUAAUAAGUUAAUAAAUAUUGUUAUGGGUUAUUUUUUUUUUUCUUACAAAAAAAAUAAUAGCAGCUAAAUAUAAAUAACUUGUUGUGGAAAAUCAAGCCCAUCUAAACUUUUUUUUUAGUAAGAAAUUUUCACACGAAAUAGGUUACAUUAUUCC
RNAcentral lists this non-coding RNA (222 nucleotides) under Ophiognomonia clavigignenti-juglandacearum. Lineage: Eukaryota; Fungi; Ascomycota; Sordariomycetes; Diaporthales; Gnomoniaceae. The record is from RNAcentral.